GAUUAUGGCUCAGGAUGAACGCUGGCGGCGUGCUUAAUACAUGCAAGUCGAACGAAGACAUCUCGCCGAAGCUUGCCUCAUUGAGAUAUCUUAGUGGCGGACGGGUGAGUAACGCGUGGGUAACCUGCCUUACACGAGGGGGAUAACAGUUAGAAAUGACUGCUAAUACCGCAUAAGCGCACAUUAUCGCAUGAUAGAGUGUAGAAAAGUAUUUAUCGGUGUAAGAUCGGACCCGCGUCUGAUUAGCUAGUUGGUGAGGUAACGGCCCCACCAAGGCGACGAUCAGUAGCCGGCCUGAGAGGGUGAACGGCCACAUUGGGACUGAGACACGGCCCAAACUCCUACGGGAGGCAGCAGUAGGGAAUAUUGGACAAUGGGGGAAACCCUGAUCCCAGCGACGCCGCGUGAGUGAAGAAGUAUUUCGGUACGUAAAGCUCUAUCAGCAGGGAAGAAAAUGACGGUACCUGACUAAGAAGCACCGGCUAAAUACGUGCCAGCCGCGGC
RNAcentral lists this ribosomal RNA (504 nucleotides) under uncultured bacterium. RNAcentral describes it as "bacterial SSU rRNA". It matches the Rfam family "Bacterial small subunit ribosomal RNA", at positions 15 to 518 of the family's 1533-position model. The record is from RNAcentral.